RNAcentral lists this ribosomal RNA (544 nucleotides) under uncultured Castellaniella sp. Its description in RNAcentral is "bacterial SSU rRNA". It matches the Rfam family "Bacterial small subunit ribosomal RNA", at positions 989 to 1533 of the family's 1533-position model. The record is from RNAcentral. Lineage: Bacteria; Pseudomonadati; Pseudomonadota; Betaproteobacteria; Burkholderiales; Alcaligenaceae.
UCUGGAAUCCCGAAGAGAUUUGGGAGUGCUCGCAAGAGAACCGGAACACAGGUGCUGCAUGGCUGUCGUCAGCUCGUGUCGUGAGAUGUUGGGUUAAGUCCCGCAACGAGCGCAACCCUUGCCAUUAGUUGCUACAUUCAGUUGGGCACUCUAAUGGGACUGCCGGUGACAAACCGGAGGAAGGUGGGGAUGACGUCAAGUCCUCAUGGCCCUUAUGGGUAGGGCUUCACACGUCAUACAAUGGUCGGGACAGAGGGUUGCCAAGCCGCGAGGUGGAGCCAAUCUCAGAAACCCGAUCGUAGUCCGGAUCGCAGUCUGCAACUCGACUGCGUGAAGUCGGAAUCGCUAGUAAUCGCGGAUCAGCAUGUCGCGGUGAAUACGUUCCCGGGUCUUGUACACACCGCCCGUCACACCAUGGGAGUGGGUUUCACCAGAAGUAGGUAGCCUAACCGCAAGGGGGGCGCUUACCACGGUGAGAUUCAUGACUGGGGUGAAGUCGUAACAAGGUAGCCGUAUCGGAAGGUGCGGCUGGAUCACCUCCUUU